CCCCCCCUGGCGUAGUUGGUCUGCGCGCUCGGCUGAAGCCCGAGAGGUUCUGGUUCGAUUCCAGAGGGUGGGA
This 73-nucleotide transfer RNA is filed under the name Deltaproteobacteria bacterium. RNAcentral's name for it is "tRNA-Phe". It matches the Rfam family "tRNA". From Rfam's summary of the family: Transfer RNA (tRNA) molecules are approximately 80 nucleotides in length. Their secondary structure includes four short double-helical elements and three loops (D, anti-codon, and T loops). Further hydrogen bonds mediate the characteristic L-shaped molecular structure. tRNAs have two regions of fundamental functional importance: the anti-codon, which is responsible for specific mRNA codon recognition, and the 3' end, to which the tRNAs corresponding amino acid is attached (by aminoacyl-tRNA synthetases). tRNAs cope with the degeneracy of the genetic code in two manners: having more than one tRNA (with a specific anti-codon) for a particular amino acid; and 'wobble' base-pairing, i.e. permitting non-standard base-pairing at the 3rd anti-codon position. The record is from RNAcentral. Lineage: Bacteria; Pseudomonadati; Myxococcota; Myxococcia.